UGCUGAUACCCAGAGUCGAACUGGGGACCUCAUCCUUACCAAGGAUGCGCUCUACCAACUGAGCCAUAUCAGC
This 73-nucleotide transfer RNA is filed under the name Aeromonas media WS. Its description in RNAcentral is "tRNA-Thr". Lineage: Bacteria; Pseudomonadati; Pseudomonadota; Gammaproteobacteria; Aeromonadales; Aeromonadaceae. The record is from RNAcentral.